GACGAACGCUGGCGGCGCGCUUAACACAUGCAAGUCGUACGGUAAGGCCCUUUCGGGGGUACACGAGUGGCGAACGGGUGAGUAACACGUGAGUAACCUGCCCACAACUUUGGGAUAACGCUAGGAAACUGGUGCUAAUACUGGAUAUGUGCUCCUGCUGCAUGGUGGGGGUUGGAAAGCUCCGGCGGUUGUGGAUGGACUCGCGGCCUAUCAGCUUGUUGGUGGGGUAGUGGCCUACCAAGGCGGCGACGGGUAGCCGGCCUGAGAGGGUGACCGGCCACAUUGGGACUGAGAUACGGCCCAGACUCCUACGGGAGGCAGCAGUGGGGAAUAUUGCACAAUGGGCGCAAGCCUGAUGCAGCAACGCCGCGUGCGGGAUGACGGCCUUCGGGUUGUAAACCGCUUUCAGCAGGGACGAAGCUUUUUGUGACGGUACCUGCAGAAGAAGCACCGGCUAACUACGUG
RNAcentral lists this ribosomal RNA (465 nucleotides) under uncultured bacterium. Its description in RNAcentral is "partial 16S ribosomal RNA". It matches the Rfam family "Bacterial small subunit ribosomal RNA", at positions 28 to 507 of the family's 1533-position model. The record is from RNAcentral.